Molecule: ribosomal RNA, 566 nt
Filed under: uncultured bacterium
Lineage: Bacteria
Description: bacterial SSU rRNA
Rfam family: Bacterial small subunit ribosomal RNA
Source: RNAcentral
CCUACGGGAGGCAGCAGUGGGGAAUCUUGCGCAAUGGGCGAAAGCCUGACGCAGCAACGCCGCGUGAGGGACGAAGGUUUUCUGAAUUGUAAACCUCUUUCAGCAGGGAAGAUAAUGACGGUACCUGCAGAAGAAGCACCGGCUAACUACGUGCCAGCAGCCGCGGUGAUACGUAGGGUGCAAGCGUUGUCCGGAUUUAUUGGGCGUAAAGAGCUCGUAGGCGGUUUGGUAAGUCGGUUGUGAAAUCCCCAGGCUCAACCUGGGGCCUGCAUUCGAUACUGCCAUGACUAGAGUUUGGUAGGGGACCACGGAAUUCCUGGUGUAGCGGUGGAAUGCGCAGAUAUCAGGAGGAACACCAGUAGCGAAGGCGGUGGUCUGGGCCAAUACUGACGCUGAGGAGCGAAAGCGUGGGGAGCAAACAGGAUUAGAUACCCUGGUAGUCCACGCCGUAAACGGUGGGCACUAGGUGUGGGGACUAUUCAACGGUUUCCGCGCCGACGCUAACGCAUUAAGUGCCCGCCUGGGGAGUACGGCCGCAAGGCUAAAACGUCAAAGGAAUUAGACGG